CGUUGGUCGACCUACCCCAAAGUGUGGGAUAACAGUUCGAAAGAACUGCUAAUACCGCAUGUGGUUAUUGGAUUUAGAAACUGAUAACUAAAGGAGCAAUUCGCUUUGGGAGGGACCUGCGUCCCAUCAGCUAGUUGGUGAGGUAAUGGCUCACCAAGGCUACGACGGGUAGGGGACCUGAGAGGGUGACCCCCCACAAUGGAACUGAAACACGGUCCAUACACCUACGGGUGGCAGCAGUAGGGAAUAUUGCACAAUGGGCGAAAGCCUGAUGCAGCAACGCCGCGUGUGCGAUGAAGGCCUUCGGGUCGUAAAGCACUUUUCUGAGAGAUGAGCAAGGACAGUAUCUCAGGAAUAAGUCUCGGCUAACUACGUG
This 376-nucleotide ribosomal RNA is filed under the name uncultured bacterium. Its description in RNAcentral is "bacterial SSU rRNA". It matches the Rfam family "Bacterial small subunit ribosomal RNA", at positions 116 to 507 of the family's 1533-position model. The record is from RNAcentral.